Molecule: ribosomal RNA, 284 nt
Filed under: uncultured prokaryote
Description: partial 16S ribosomal RNA
Rfam family: Bacterial small subunit ribosomal RNA
Source: RNAcentral
UACGUAGGUGGCAAGCGUUAUCCGGAUUUACUGGGUGUAAAGGGCGUGUAGGCGGUUCUGCAAGUCGGGUGUGAAAUUUCCGGGCUUAACCCGGACGGGUCACCCGAAACUGCGGAACUUGAGUACUGGAGAGGAUAGUGGAAUUCCUAGUGUAGCGGUAAAAUGCGUAGAUAUUAGGAGGAACACCAGUGGCGAAGGCGGCUAUCUGGACUGUAACUGACACUGAGGCACGGAAGCGUGGGGAGCAAACAGGAUUAGAUACCCGCGUAGUCCCUGAGCGGGCU